Molecule: ribosomal RNA, 274 nt
Filed under: uncultured bacterium
Lineage: Bacteria
Description: partial 16S ribosomal RNA
Rfam family: Bacterial small subunit ribosomal RNA
Source: RNAcentral
AUACGGAGGGUGCAAGCGUUACUCGGAAUCACUGGGCGUAAAGCGCAUGCAGGCGGUCUAAUAAGUUGGAAGUGAAAGCCUAUGGCUCAACCAUAGAACUGCUUCCAAAACUGUUAGACUAGAGUCUGGGAGGGGAAGAUGGAAUUAGUAGUGUAGGGGUAAAAUCCGUAGAGAUUACUAGGAAUACCAAAAGCGAAGGCGAUCUUCUGGAACAGUACUGACGCUGAGAUGCGAAAGCGUGGGGAGCAAACAGGAUUAGAAACCCCGGUAGUCC